RNAcentral lists this ribosomal RNA (733 nucleotides) under uncultured Bacteroidota bacterium. Its description in RNAcentral is "bacterial SSU rRNA". It matches the Rfam family "Bacterial small subunit ribosomal RNA", at positions 26 to 873 of the family's 1533-position model. The record is from RNAcentral. Lineage: Bacteria; Pseudomonadati; Bacteroidota.
AGGAUGAACGCUGGCGGUCUGCCUAACACAUGCAAGUCGAACGAGUGGCGGACGGGUGAGUAACGCGUGAGAAUCUAGCUCUGGAUGGGGACAACAGCGGGAAACUGCUGCUAAUACCCGAUGAGAUGAGCUCGCGUCAGAUUAGCUAGUUGGUAGGGUAAAAGCCUACCGAGGCGACGAUCUGUAGCUGGUCUGAGAGGAUGAGCAGCCACACUGGGACUGAGACACGGCCCAGACUCCUACGGGAGGCAGCAGUGGGGAAUUUUCCGCAAUGGGCGAAAGCCUGACGGAGCAAGACCGCGUGAGGGAGGAAGGCUCUUGGGUUGUAAACCUCUUUUCUCAGGGAUGAAGGUACCUGAGGAAUAAGCAUCGGCUAACUCCGUGCCAGCAGCCGCGGUAAUACGGAGGAUGCAAGCGUUAUCCGGAAUCAUUGGGCGUAAAGCGUCCGCAGGUGGAGUGGUAAGUCUGUCGUCAAAGAACGGGGCUUAACCCCGUAAAGGCGAUGGAAACUGCCACACUAGAGGCUGGUAGGGGUAGAGGGAAUUCCCAGUGUAGCGGUGAAAUGCGUAGAGAUUGGGAAGAACACCAGUGGCGAAAGCGCUCUACAGGACCAGAACUGACACUCAGGGACGAAAGCUAGGGGAGCGAAAGGGAUUAGAUACCCCUGUAGUCCUAGCCGUAAACGAUGGAUACUAGGCGUAGGUGCCGAAGCUAACGCGUUAAGUAUCCCGCC